Transfer RNA from Felis catus (domestic cat), 85 nucleotides. It matches the Rfam family "tRNA". Rfam says of the family: Transfer RNA (tRNA) molecules are approximately 80 nucleotides in length. Their secondary structure includes four short double-helical elements and three loops (D, anti-codon, and T loops). The record is from Rfam. Lineage: Eukaryota; Metazoa; Chordata; Mammalia; Carnivora; Felidae.
GCCUGGGUGGCUCAGUAGGUUAAGCAUCUGACUUUGAUUCAGAUCAUGAUCUCAUGGUUCAUGGGUUUGAGCCCCACAUCGGGCU